Molecule: transfer RNA, 71 nt
Filed under: Toxocara canis (dog roundworm)
Lineage: Eukaryota; Metazoa; Nematoda; Chromadorea; Rhabditida; Toxocaridae
Rfam family: tRNA
About the family: Transfer RNA (tRNA) molecules are approximately 80 nucleotides in length. Their secondary structure includes four short double-helical elements and three loops (D, anti-codon, and T loops).
Source: Rfam by way of RNAcentral
AGGGCAGUAGCUCAGUGGUAGAGCCCUGCCUCGCAUGCGGGGAGACUUGGGUCCGAUUCCCGGUUGCUUCC